GAUGAAGAACGCAGUGAAAUGCGAUAAGUAGUGUGAAUUGCAGAAUUCAGUGAAUCAUCGAAUCUUUGAACGCACAUUGCGCCCCUUGGUAUCCCGAGGGGCAUGCCUGUUCGAGCGUCAUUUCACCACUCAAGCCUGGCUUGGUGUUGGGCGACGUCCCCUUUGGGGACGCGCCUUGAAACGCUCGGCGGCGUGGCACCGGCUUUAAGCGUAGCAGAAUCUUUCGCUUUGGAAGUCGGGGCCCCGUCUGCCGGAAGACCUACUCGCAAGGUUGACCUCGGAUCAGGCAGGGAUACCCGCUGAACUUAAGCAUAUCAAUAAGCGGAGGA
RNAcentral lists this unclassified non-coding RNA (329 nucleotides) under soil metagenome. Its description in RNAcentral is "partial contains 5.8S ribosomal RNA, internal transcribed spacer 2, and large subunit ribosomal RNA". The stretch from base 1 to 120 matches the Rfam family "5.8S ribosomal RNA", at positions 35 to 154 of the family's 154-position model. The record is from RNAcentral.